Non-coding RNA from Nicotiana tabacum (common tobacco), 949 nucleotides. The record is from RefSeq and is a predicted model, not a curated record. NCBI's taxonomy places the organism in Eukaryota, Viridiplantae, Streptophyta, Magnoliopsida, Solanales, Solanaceae.
UCAAGAUAAACUUCUUGAAUAGAAAAUCUGAAAAUUAUGCUCGAAAUUAAACUAUUGAGCAAGUUACCUCGCAAAACACCAUGUUGCGAGUUAAUAAUAAUUGCACAUGUAACCAUCUCAUAAAUGCAUCUUAUAUGGUACAUGGCAGGUGAAUGGGCCCAUAUUUACCUUUGAUAUUUCCAGAAUUUAUGGGAUUCAAUCCCAACUUUAGUUGGUCAAUUAAUUAAUGAGAAUAAGCAAUAUAAGAGAAUCGUAAAGAACUUUCUAGUUCUUUAAUAUUUACCCAUGUGAGUUCUCUAUUAUUUUUGCACAUCAUACUUAAAUUGAUAUGGCUAAACCAGCUAUGCCAACUGGAUAUCAAUAAACUCCAAAUUUAUUAUGAUGUGGGUUUUAUAUCAAUAAAGUUCUACGUUAUUGUGGUAUUCUUUUAUUUGUGUAGUAUAAAAUGAUAUAAACAUCAGCUGCACGUAACUUUUUUCACCUCACUUGCCUCAAACCUUAUUCAGAUUGAGGACAGAGAGGAAAAACCAUCAAACAAUCCAAACUCCAGAAACAAGUUCGAAAGUUGAAGCCAAAAUGAAGCAGAAGAGCAAAGAAGGGAUCGAAGCUUAUUCCAGUGAUAGCAACAAGCAAAGGAGCCAAUUAUACAGACAAGGACAAGGACAAGAAGAGCUAGACCAAGAGGAAAAGCUAUGGUGGGCCGUGAAGAAGUAAUUCCCAAGGCACUAUUUUUACCCAUAAUAUAUAACAGGAGUAGUUCAGAAUUCAGCAAGCAAGCAAUUAGUAGUAGAGUUUAAGAUCAAAAUUUGCAGCGAGGGGAUCGAGGAAAUAGGAAUCUUUCUUUAGCUAGAAAGAUUAAAUUGUAAAGUAGACUUGUUUCCUUUCCACUUAUAAUAUAUUGGUGUAAUGGAAAAAGACUAGAGGGAAAUGAAAAGUACAUUCAACCGUA